CGAUCCAUGCGUGCGGUCCAGGGCUCAUGAGGAGAGAGAAGAAGGUCCGAAGGGCAACCUGGUAACUUCACAUCACUCGAUGGUCCGAUCUUCUCUGAUCAAGAUCCAACGCUCCACAUUUUUGCGCCAUAGGACGGCCACCAUCGCAGCCGGUCAAGAUCCAACCGUAAUCAAGGCAAUUGCAAGAAUCAAUAAACACUAAGACAACACG
Molecule: long non-coding RNA, 211 nt
Filed under: Elaeis guineensis (African oil palm)
Lineage: Eukaryota; Viridiplantae; Streptophyta; Magnoliopsida; Arecales; Arecaceae
Description: long non-coding RNA (EGUI_LNC031338)
Source: RNAcentral